Molecule: ribosomal RNA, 253 nt
Filed under: uncultured bacterium
Lineage: Bacteria
Description: partial 16S ribosomal RNA
Rfam family: Bacterial small subunit ribosomal RNA
Source: RNAcentral
UACGUAGGAGACGAGCGUUGUCCGGAGUUACUGGGCGUAAAGGGUGCGCAGGUGGCGGCGCGCGUGGGGGGUGAAAUCGCCCGGCUUAACUGGGCGGGGGCCUUCCAGACGGCGUGGCUUGAGCAGCGGAGGGGGACGUGGAAUUCCGGGUGGAGCGGUGAAAUGCGUAGAUAUCGGGAGGAAUACCAGUGGCGAAGGCGGCUUCCUGGCCUGUUCUUGACGCUGAGGCGCGAAAGCUAGGGUAGCAAACGGG